Molecule: ribosomal RNA, 406 nt
Filed under: uncultured bacterium
Lineage: Bacteria
Description: partial 16S ribosomal RNA
Rfam family: Bacterial small subunit ribosomal RNA
Source: RNAcentral
AUUUAACGCUGGCGGCAGGCCUAACACAUGCAAGUCGAACGAGUGGCGGACGGGUGAGUAAUGUCUGGGAAACUGCCUGAUGGAGGGGGAUAACUACUGGAAACGGUAGCUAAUACCGCAUACCAUCAGAUGUGCCCCGAUGGGAUUAGCUAGUUGGUGGGGUAACGGCUCACCAAGGCGACUAUCCCUCGCUGGGCUGAGAGGAUGACCAGCCACACGGGAACUGAAACCCGGUCCAGAAUCCUACGGGAGGCAGCAGUGGGGAAUAGUGCACAAGGGGCGAAAGCCUGAUGAAGCCAUGCCGCGUGUAUGAAGAAGGCCUUCGGGUUGUAAAGUACUUUCAGCGGGGAGGCGUUACCCGCAGAAGAAGCACCGGCUAACUCCGUGCCAGCAGCCGCGGUAAUAC